RNAcentral lists this small RNA (100 nucleotides) under Vigna angularis var. angularis. Its description in RNAcentral is "Non-protein coding transcript". The record is from RNAcentral. Lineage: Eukaryota; Viridiplantae; Streptophyta; Magnoliopsida; Fabales; Fabaceae.
ACUAAACACAUCAAAUCUCAAACCACUCAUUGAAUUAUUGCCUAUUUUUUGCUUCCACCUGCAUUAUUGCCUCCUGCUUCCUGUGCUGCUUUCUUUGCCG